RNAcentral lists this transfer RNA (73 nucleotides) under Ophiophagus hannah (king cobra). It matches the Rfam family "tRNA". From Rfam's summary of the family: Transfer RNA (tRNA) molecules are approximately 80 nucleotides in length. Their secondary structure includes four short double-helical elements and three loops (D, anti-codon, and T loops). Lineage: Eukaryota; Metazoa; Chordata; Lepidosauria; Squamata; Elapidae. The record is from Rfam by way of RNAcentral.
GUCUGUAUGGUUUAGUGGUUAAAGCACCAGGCUGGAAACCAAGAAAGUGUGAAUUCUACUUCCACCUUAGGCA